This 253-nucleotide ribosomal RNA is filed under the name uncultured bacterium. Its description in RNAcentral is "partial 16S ribosomal RNA". It matches the Rfam family "Bacterial small subunit ribosomal RNA", at positions 524 to 776 of the family's 1533-position model. The record is from RNAcentral.
UACGAAGGGGGCUAGCGUUGCUCGGAAUGACUGGGCGUAAAGGGCGCGUAGGCGGUUUGGACAGUCAGAUGUGAAAUUCCUGGGCUCAACCCUGGAAUUGCAUUGAAUACUGGAGGACUAGAGUACCGGAGAGGAAACUGGAAUUUACGGUGUAGCAGUGAAAUGCGUAGAGAUCGUAAGGAAGACCAGUGGCGAAGGCGAGUUUCUGGACGGUAACUGACGCUGAGGCACGAAGGCCAGGGGAGCAAACGGG